Molecule: ribosomal RNA, 254 nt
Filed under: uncultured bacterium
Lineage: Bacteria
Description: partial 16S ribosomal RNA
Rfam family: Bacterial small subunit ribosomal RNA
Source: RNAcentral
UACGUAGGGUGCAAGCGUUGUCCGGAAUUAUUGGGCGUAAAGAGCUCGUAGGCGGUUUGUCGCGUCUGCUGUGAAAACCUAGGGCUUAACUCUGGGCGUGCAGUGGGUACGGGCAGGCUAGGGUGCGGUAGGGGGAGACUGGAAUUCCUGGUGUAGCGGUGAAAUGCGCAGAUAUCAGGAGGAACACCGGUGGCGAAGGCGGGUCUCUGGGCCGUAACUGACGCUGAGGAGCGAAAGCAUGGGGAGCGAACAGG